RNAcentral lists this transfer RNA (73 nucleotides) under Chaetobranchopsis orbicularis. RNAcentral describes it as "tRNA-Val". It matches the Rfam family "tRNA". From Rfam's summary of the family: Transfer RNA (tRNA) molecules are approximately 80 nucleotides in length. Their secondary structure includes four short double-helical elements and three loops (D, anti-codon, and T loops). Further hydrogen bonds mediate the characteristic L-shaped molecular structure. tRNAs have two regions of fundamental functional importance: the anti-codon, which is responsible for specific mRNA codon recognition, and the 3' end, to which the tRNAs corresponding amino acid is attached (by aminoacyl-tRNA synthetases). tRNAs cope with the degeneracy of the genetic code in two manners: having more than one tRNA (with a specific anti-codon) for a particular amino acid; and 'wobble' base-pairing, i.e. permitting non-standard base-pairing at the 3rd anti-codon position. The record is from RNAcentral. RNAcentral also lists the same sequence under 1 other name. Lineage: Eukaryota; Metazoa; Chordata; Actinopteri; Cichliformes; Cichlidae.
CAGAACGUGGCUAAACCAGAUAAAGCAUCUCCCCUACACUGAGAAGAAACCCGUGCAAAUCGAGUCGUCCUGA